UACGUAGGGCGCAAGCGUUGUCCGGAAUUAUUGGGCGUAAAGAGCUCGUAGGCGGUCUGUCGCGUCGGUUGUGAAAACCCAAGGCUCAACCUUGGGCCUGCAAUCGAUACGGGCAGACUAGAGUACUGCAGGGGAGACUGGAAUUCCUGGUGUAGCGGUGGAAUGCGCAGAUAUCAGGAGGAACACCGGUGGCGAAGGCGGGUCUCUGGGCCGAUACUGACGCUGAGGAGCGAAAGCGUGGGGAGUGAACAGG
RNAcentral lists this ribosomal RNA (253 nucleotides) under uncultured bacterium. RNAcentral's name for it is "partial 16S ribosomal RNA". It matches the Rfam family "Bacterial small subunit ribosomal RNA", at positions 524 to 776 of the family's 1533-position model. The record is from RNAcentral.